UUCUUUUUGGGGUAGCCUCACAAGCCCAUCCUUUCCGUGUCGUGUGACUCGGUGUUUUCCGGCACCAUUCCGCUGCUUGCCGUCCUCGCUUGGCUUGCGUGUCCCUCUCAGCCUCACUCCUCCCUGCCCACUCCGUGCGCCGUUGCACCCCUCAUCCACGUACGCUCACUCCACCGCGCGCAAGCGAACAAAAAUGAGCGCGUACACCACCGCAGCUCGCCUACCUUCGCAGGCAUACGGCUCAGCAGUCUUCGCCCAGGACGCACCGCCCUGCCGUCGAGCCGGGGCCGCGCGCCUAGCGGGCUCCUCUCGCCCAGCCUCCGGAUGCGCGCAGCCCCAGCGCAGCCCACUGCCCGUCCACACCAACAGUCCGCAGCCAGCACCCAAGGCCAGGCCGCAGGCCCCCGGCGUCCCCACAGAGCAGGCACGCGGCCCUCGUGCCACCACGCCGUGACUGGCACAAAAGAGGCGGGCGAAUCACUGACGCAGCAAAAAGUAUCUACCGCGUAAUGGGAUCUACGGACGGAGCGGGUAUGAAGAAGAGAUACUUAAGUGGUAGUGAGGUAGCGUAUAGCGCUCACGAAUGGCCAUGUGAUGUGCGUAGCUGCCGAACCAUCUUUAGCGUUAGCAGCUGCCUCUGUAAGUCUGCAGAGGCUACUAUGCUGGCUAGUGGUAGUGCAGCCUCGUUGUUCGUCGUCAUCGCACUGAGCGUGUUCAAUGCCGGCGAACGAAUAUACGCUCUUCCUACCUCCUCCUCUGUCUGACGGCCUUUUUCCUCUCUGAAUCGGGCGUGGCGCUGGCGAAUUGAAUGAAUGCAUGGGUAUGCAAG
This 829-nucleotide unclassified non-coding RNA is filed under the name Leishmania donovani. RNAcentral describes it as "gene:unknown". The record is from RNAcentral. Lineage: Eukaryota; Euglenozoa; Kinetoplastea; Trypanosomatida; Trypanosomatidae.